GCAGAGGAAGUUGCAGUGGAAGAAAGAGGAGGAGAAGAGGAGGAGAAACACUCCUGAUCCGUCCGUUCCUGCUGGACACACUCAGAUGUCUGAAAGAGAGAAACAGGAGACCCUGCAGUCCCUCGAAGACACUCACAGGCCUCUGGUCAGUGAGCUGCAGUCUCUCCCCGUCAAAGCCGACACAAUGAGCGUUCGCUCUCGACACGCUCAACUCGCCCAGCGGCUCUCAGAGGUCGAGGAGGCCAUCAAAAUCUUCUCACGGGAUAAAGUCGACUCUUGAGAAACCACACUCAUAUCAAGCGGUUUCUUUUAUAUUUAUGCAUUUAUUAGUUAUUUGUUAAGAGCAGCAGCUGCUCUUUAGUUUCCUGAGUUCACUACAUUUGAACGCUUGACACUAUAAAGAGAUUUGUGACUAAA
Sinocyclocheilus grahami is the source of this 417-nucleotide long non-coding RNA. RefSeq lists it as uncharacterized. The record is from RefSeq and is a predicted model, not a curated record. Lineage: Eukaryota; Metazoa; Chordata; Actinopteri; Cypriniformes; Cyprinidae. The transcript has 2 exons.